CACGCGAUCUCUCAAAAGCAAACAAUAAAGGGCAACAAACAGGCACCAGAGAUAGUUACCAGCUUACGAAAGAAAGUUUUCUUCAACAUAACUCCAGGUGAAGAAGAGCGAGUCCAAGACCAAAACUAAAGAUGGCUGUCGACGGUUUCAUGCACAGAGAGCCCGCAAACGAAGUACACACACUGGACAAUAGAAGUGUCACCCCCUAAAUCAGA
Molecule: long non-coding RNA, 215 nt
Organism: Lingula anatina
Lineage: Eukaryota; Metazoa; Brachiopoda; Lingulata; Lingulida; Lingulidae
Source: RefSeq, a predicted model, not a curated record